GAAAUGCGAUAAGUAGUGUGAAUUGCAGAAUUCAGUGAAUCAUCGAAUCUUUGAACGCACAUUGCACCCUUUGGUAUUCCUUAGGGCAUGCCUGUUCGAGCGUCAUCUAAACCUUCAAGCCCUGCUUGGUGUUGGGUGCCUGUCCCGCCUCCGCGCGCGGACUCACCUCAAAUCCAUUGGCGGCCCCCGCGUCGGCCACGAGCGCAGCAGAAACGCGAACUCGUGAGCCCGUCCGGGCGGCUCCCAGAAGCUACACCCACCCAGUUUGACCUCGGAUCAGGUAGGGAUACCCGCUGAACUUAAGC
This 305-nucleotide unclassified non-coding RNA is filed under the name plant metagenome. Its description in RNAcentral is "partial contains 5.8S ribosomal RNA, internal transcribed spacer 2, and large subunit ribosomal RNA". The stretch from base 1 to 105 matches the Rfam family "5.8S ribosomal RNA", at positions 50 to 154 of the family's 154-position model. The record is from RNAcentral.